This 611-nucleotide long non-coding RNA is filed under the name Arachis ipaensis. RNAcentral's name for it is "long non-coding RNA (AIPA_LNC000711)". The record is from RNAcentral. Lineage: Eukaryota; Viridiplantae; Streptophyta; Magnoliopsida; Fabales; Fabaceae.
UUAAAUUUUGCAGUUGAACUAUUAUUCGAUCUGUUUUUUUAACGACACAAAGUAUUACAGUAUUUAUUUUUCAAUGUAUAUCAUUCGAUACUAAUACAGAGGAGUAGCAUCCGAAUUUGCAUGUUGUAAGAGAGUAAAAAUGGAACACAAUAAUGCCAAUAGAGAGAUGCAGAAGAAUAGAAGAUGGCGUAGUAAAUGAAGAGUAUGACGACAAAUGCAAGGAUAUUUCGUUGCUACUUCCUCAUGGACCCCGGCUCCUUUUUCAUCUUUCAUGAAUUGCAAACAACCAAUUUAGCCAAGAGCUUUAUUUGCUUGCUCCUCGAUCUGCUAAAAUCCACAAUUGAUCGAGAAACGUCACUUUUCUUCCAUCUCUAUCUUACUCCAACCAAGACCAACACUUCUCUCUUCAUCAUAAUCACGCCUUACUCCUCCUCCUCCUUUCCCUUAGCUUUUGAGAUUACUCGAAUAAUAAAACAAAAACCAUACGUUCAAAAGUUAUGAACUAAUGAUUAAUAUGUGAAUACUAAAUAAAAAUGAUGUGGCCAUCCAUCAAAGGCGCAUUGAUAUUAGCGCUGUGUGAAUUGCCAACAUUGUAAAUAAAUUUGGUAUCC